UGGUCAAGUUAUUAAGGGUGCAGGGCGGAUGCCUUGGCACUAGGAGCCGAUGAAGGACGUGAUAAGCUGCG
This 71-nucleotide ribosomal RNA is filed under the name Clostridioides difficile. RNAcentral describes it as "partial 23S ribosomal RNA". The record is from RNAcentral. Lineage: Bacteria; Bacillati; Bacillota; Clostridia; Peptostreptococcales; Peptostreptococcaceae.